This 138-nucleotide ribosomal RNA is filed under the name uncultured eukaryote. Its description in RNAcentral is "partial 18S ribosomal RNA". It matches the Rfam family "Eukaryotic small subunit ribosomal RNA", at positions 1299 to 1458 of the family's 1831-position model. The record is from RNAcentral.
UGGUGGAGCGAUUUGUCUGGUUAAUUCCGAUAACGAACGAGACUCUAGCCUAUUAAAUAGUUCGCCGAUCACCUUACGUCGGCGUCAACUUCUUAGAGGGACAAGUGGCGUUUAGCCACGCGAGAUUGAGCAAUAACA